Myotis lucifugus (little brown bat) is the source of this 101-nucleotide small nuclear RNA. NCBI's taxonomy places the organism in Eukaryota, Metazoa, Chordata, Mammalia, Chiroptera, Vespertilionidae. The record is from Ensembl.
ACUGCUCGCUUCGGCAGCAGACACUAAAACUGGAACGAUAGAGAUUAGCACGGCCCCUGCGCAAGGAUGACACGCAAAUUCGUGAAGCGUUCCAUAUUUAA